Molecule: transfer RNA, 84 nt
Filed under: Candidatus Latescibacterota bacterium
Lineage: Bacteria; Pseudomonadati; Candidatus Latescibacterota
Also listed under: 1 other name
Description: tRNA-Leu
Rfam family: tRNA
About the family: Transfer RNA (tRNA) molecules are approximately 80 nucleotides in length. Their secondary structure includes four short double-helical elements and three loops (D, anti-codon, and T loops).
Source: RNAcentral
GCGAGAGUGGCGGAACCGGUAGACGCGUCGGACUUAGGAUCCGGUGAGGGGAACCUCGUGGGGGUUCGAGUCCCCCCUCUCGCA